CUUUCCUCUUGAGCUGGUUCAUCUGGAUUGAAAGAUGAAUUGGACUGUGAAAGAUAAGCAUCUAAAUAGGCGCAUGGUUCUAGACAUUUUUUAUUCGCAUCCCCAUAUUUUACCUGUGUAUCUCCAUUGGGGGUGGUUAAAAGAUUAAACUGCCCCGGGCCACCGUUUCCCUUGCCGUCGUUACCUCCUUGCCGUCGUCGUCGCUGUUCCCUUGCCAUCGCUGCUCCAUGUCUCGUUGCCGCCCUUGUCUAUUUGUUGUGUUAAGGAAUACUGACUAUCACGAAUGGCUGCUUCUAACAUGGCUACAAUGCAAACUACCACUGAAAAGGUAUUAUUCAAGAAGCUUCCAUGUGAUAUGAUUGAAUCAACAAUCUGCACGAAAGGACAAAUAACAACGAUGUGGUUGAGAUUCAAAAGCAGAAUAGAGGUGGUUUUCUGAUGUGCGAUGGGGAUACAACAGUAAGGCUUUGGUACGACUAGUUUGAAUUACCAACAAAAUUCCUCACGAGCAAUUUUGAAGAACUGACCUUGCUAUUGUCAAUCUUUGAUGGUGAUGGUGGUGAUCGUGCAUAUUAAAGCAUAUGGGGCAUUUUGUUGGUGGUAUUUCAGAGGUGACGUUGAUGCCCAAUACUCAAGGAACUCACUUUCUAUCUAACUUUGCAGAAAAUCCUGAACUCCACAAGAUAAUUUGGAACUGAAUUACUAUUUUCUCUUUCUUUUAUUAUGGAUUACAUUUAAAAACAUUUUAAAGCCAUCCUUUAUGAAAUAAAUGUCAAUGUUCUAUAUGAAAUAAAUGUCAAUGCUGUUUACUCUAGGAGCUUGUUUCAGCCAUUAAAAAACUUUCUUUAGUUUAUAAAUCUUCUCUUCUUGGCCUUCAGUCCAAAGCUUUGAGGUUGCUCAAACCU
Molecule: non-coding RNA, 905 nt
Organism: Vigna umbellata (rice bean)
Lineage: Eukaryota; Viridiplantae; Streptophyta; Magnoliopsida; Fabales; Fabaceae
Source: RefSeq, a predicted model, not a curated record